UCAGCUGACAGUUUAUUUUUCAACAAUUAGGUCAAAAUUCAUUAGGAUACAUUCAAAAGAAACUCAUUUCUGACGCAAAUCACUAACCAAUAAGUAAUAACAGAAUCUGCACGCCGAAUUACCUGCUAAAUCUAAUGUCUUCAGGUGUUUGUUGAGAUGACAGUGCCCCGAUAUGACUCUCGUUAGUAUUCGUUGAUUAUUCUUAUUCAGGUUGGUACAUUCAAAGGAUCUUCACUGGUUAUAGUUUUCCAGAAGAGUCUUUGCCUGUCUCAGUCCCUGUAGGUUGUCCCAAUAAUUGGUUUUGUUCCUAUCUACCUCUUUUCCAGCGCUUUUUCCAUUGUUCUGUAGCUGAUACCACAGAAGAAGUAAGCAACUAUACUUGUUAGCACCCGAAAUUAACAAUUAAAAAACAGUCCACAAUAUGUUCGAUGUCUUCUUUGGAUAUGGCCAAAUCUGAAUCUUGAUAUUUUCAUUUGCUCUAGCCGUCUGGAUGUUAAAGGUAGUAGUACUUUCAUAACAAGUAGUACUUACUGAAAACUACCUGCAAAAAUUUUAAUAUUUUUUUUCUCUGUAAAUAUUAAUCAAAGAAUUGAAAAAAAAUAUAAUGAAAGUUGUAUAUACACUAUCCAAAACAA
Molecule: long non-coding RNA, 635 nt
Organism: Diorhabda carinulata
Lineage: Eukaryota; Metazoa; Arthropoda; Insecta; Coleoptera; Chrysomelidae
Exons: 2
Source: RefSeq, a predicted model, not a curated record